GGUUAAGCGACUAAGCGUACACGGUGGAUGCCCUGGCAGUCAGAGGCGAUGAAGGACGUGCUAAUCUGCGAUAAGCGUCGGUAAGGUGAUAUGAACCGUUAUAACCGGCGAUUUCCGAAUGGGGAAACCCAGUGUGUUUCGACACACUAUCAUUAACUGAAUCCAUAGGUUAAUGAGGCGAACCGGGGGAACUGAAACAUCUAAGUACCCCGAGGAAAAGAAAUCAACCGAGAUUCCCCCAGUAGCGGCGAGCGAACGGGGAGCAGCCCAGAGCCUGAAUCAGUGUGUGUGUUAGUGGAAGCGUCUGGAAAGGCGCGCGAUACAGGGUGACAGCCCCGUACACAAAAAUGCACAUGCUGUGAGCUCGAUGAGUAGGGCGGGACACGUGGUAUCCUGUCUGAAUAUGGGGGGACCAUCCUCCAAGGCUAAAUACUCCUGACUGACCGAUAGUGAACCAGUACCGUGAGGGAAAGGCGAAAAGAACCCCGGCGAGGGGAGUGAAAAAGAACCUGAAACCGUGUACGUACAAGCAGUGGGAGCACGCUUAGGCGUGUGACUGCGUACCUUUUGUAUAAUGGGUCAGCGACUUAUAUUCUGUAGCAAGGUUAACCGAAUAGGGGAGCCGAAGGGAAACCGAGUCUUAACUGGGCGUUAAGUUGCAGGGUAUAGACCCGAAACCCGGUGAUCUAGCCAUGGGCAGGUUGAAGGUUGGGUAACACUAACUGGAGGACCGAACCGACUAAUGUUGAAAAAUUAGCGGAUGACUUGUGGCUGGGGGUGAAAGGCCAAUCAAACCGGGAGAUAGCUGGUUCUCCCCGAAAGCUAUUUAGGUAGCGCCUCGUGAAUUCAUCUCCGGGGGUAGAGCACUGUUUCGGCAAGGGGGUCAUCCCGACUUACCAACCCGAUGCAAACUGCGAAUACCGGAGAAUGUUAUCACGGGAGACACACGGCGGGUGCUAACGUCCGUCGUGAAGAGGGAAACAACCCAGACCGCCAGCUAAGGUCCCAAAGUCAUGGUUAAGUGGGAAACGAUGUGGGAAGGCCCAGACAGCCAGGAUGUUGGCUUAGAAGCAGCCAUCAUUUAAAGAAAGCGUAAUAGCUCACUGGUCGAGUCGGCCUGCGCGGAAGAUGUAACGGGGCUAAACCAUGCACCGAAGCUGCGGCAGCGACGCUUAUGCGUUGUUGGGUAGGGGAGCGUUCUGUAAGCCUGUGAAGGUGUGCUGUGAGGCAUGCUGGAGGUAUCAGAAGUGCGAAUGCUGACAUAAGUAACGAUAAAGCGGGUGAAAAGCCCGCUCGCCGGAAGACCAAGGGUUCCUGUCCAACGUUAAUCGGGGCAGGGUGAGUCGACCCCUAAGGCGAGGCCGAAAGGCGUAGUCGAUGGGAAACAGGUUAAUAUUCCUGUACUUGGUGUUACUGCGAAGGGGGGACGGAGAAGGCUAUGUUGGCCGGGCGACGGUUGUCCCGGUUUAAGCGUGUAGGCUGGUUUUCCAGGCAAAUCCGGAAAAUCAAGGCUGAGGCGUGAUGACGAGGCACUACGGUGCUGAAGCAACAAAUGCCCUGCUUCCAGGAAAAGCCUCUAAGCAUCAGGUAACAUCAAAUCGUACCCCAAACCGACACAGGUGGUCAGGUAGAGAAUACCAAGGCGCUUGAGAGAACUCGGGUGAAGGAACUAGGCAAAAUGGUGCCGUAACUUCGGGAGAAGGCACGCUGAUAUGUAGGUGAAGUCCCUCGCGGAUGGAGCUGAAAUCAGUCGAAGAUACCAGCUGGCUGCAACUGUUUAUUAAAAACACAGCACUGUGCAAACACGAAAGUGGACGUAUACGGUGUGACGCCUGCCCGGUGCCGGAAGGUUAAUUGAUGGGGUUAGCGCAAGCGAAGCUCUUGAUCGAAGCCCCGGUAAACGGCGGCCGUAACUAUAACGGUCCUAAGGUAGCGAAAUUCCUUGUCGGGUAAGUUCCGACCUGCACGAAUGGCGUAAUGAUGGCCAGGCUGUCUCCACCCGAGACUCAGUGAAAUUGAACUCGCUGUGAAGAUGCAGUGUACCCGCGGCAAGACGGAAAGACCCCGUGAACCUUUACUAUAGCUUGACACUGAACAUUGAGCCUUGAUGUGUAGGAUAGGUGGGAGGCUUAGAAGUGUGGACGCCAGUCUGCAUGGAGCCGACCUUGAAAUACCACCCUUUAAUGUUUGAUGUUCUAACGUUGACCCGUAAUCCGGGUUGCGGACAGUGUCUGGUGGGUAGUUUGACUGGGGCGGUCUCCUCCUAAAGAGUAACGGAGGAGCACGAAGGUUGGCUAAUCCUGGUCGGACAUCAGGAGGUUAGUGCAAUGGCAUAAGCCAGCUUGACUGCGAGCGUGACGGCGCGAGCAGGUGCGAAAGCAGGUCAUAGUGAUCCGGUGGUUCUGAAUGGAAGGGCCAUCGCUCAACGGAUAAAAGGUACUCCGGGGAUAACAGGCUGAUACCGCCCAAGAGUUCAUAUCGACGGCGGUGUUUGGCACCUCGAUGUCGGCUCAUCACAUCCUGGGGCUGAAGUAGGUCCCAAGGGUAUGGCUGUUCGCCAUUUAAAGUGGUACGCGAGCUGGGUUUAGAACGUCGUGAGACAGUUCGGUCCCUAUCUGCCGUGGGCGCUGGAGAACUGAGGGGGGCUGCUCCUAGUACGAGAGGACCGGAGUGGACGCAUCACUGGUGUUCGGGUUGUCAUGCCAAUGGCACUGCCCGGUAGCUAAAUGCGGAAGAGAUAAGUGCUGAAAGCAUCUAAGCACGAAACUUGCCCCGAGAUGAGUUCUCCCUGACCCUUUAAGGGUCCUGAAGGAACGUUGAAGACGACGACGUUGAUAGGCCGGGUGUGUAAGCGCAGCGAUGCGUUGAGCUAACCGGUACUAAUGAACCGUGAGGCUUAACCUU
RNAcentral lists this ribosomal RNA (2904 nucleotides) under Escherichia coli. RNAcentral describes it as "23S ribosomal RNA". It matches the Rfam family "Bacterial large subunit ribosomal RNA". Lineage: Bacteria; Pseudomonadati; Pseudomonadota; Gammaproteobacteria; Enterobacterales; Enterobacteriaceae. The record is from RNAcentral.